UACGUAGGGGGCUAGCGUUGUCCGGAAUUAUUGGGCGUAAAGAGCGCGUAGGCGGUUCGAUAAGUCUGCUGUGAAAGCCGGGGGCUCAACCCUCGGAUGCGGGUGGAUACUGUCGGGCUUGAGUGCGGAAGAGGCGAGUGGAAUUCCUGGUGUAGCGGUGAAAUGCGCAGAUAUCAGGAGGAACACCGGUGGCGAAGGCGGGUCUCUGGGCCGAUACUGACGCUGAGGAGCGAAAGCGUGGGGAGCGAACAGG
RNAcentral lists this ribosomal RNA (253 nucleotides) under uncultured bacterium. RNAcentral's name for it is "partial 16S ribosomal RNA". It matches the Rfam family "Bacterial small subunit ribosomal RNA", at positions 524 to 776 of the family's 1533-position model. The record is from RNAcentral.